AUCGCUUCUCGGCCUUUUGGCUAAGAUCAAGUGUAGAAUUUUACAUUGAGGCUGUCAAAGGCAUUUGUAACCUUGAGCAGAACAGACUGAAGUAUAAGCUUCUUAUUCUGAAUUAUGUGGAUAGGAACUAGUUACAAACCCAGCAAUUAUUUCACUUAAUUAAUU
This 165-nucleotide small nuclear RNA is filed under the name Myotis davidii. RNAcentral's name for it is "U2 spliceosomal RNA". It matches the Rfam family "U2 spliceosomal RNA". Rfam says of the family: U2 is a small nuclear RNA (snRNA) component of the spliceosome (involved in pre-mRNA splicing). Complementary binding between U2 snRNA (in an area lying towards the 5' end but 3' to hairpin I) and the branchpoint sequence (BPS) of the intron results the bulging out of an unpaired adenosine, on the BPS, which initiates a nucleophilic attack at the intronic 5' splice site, thus starting the first of two transesterification reactions that mediate splicing. Lineage: Eukaryota; Metazoa; Chordata; Mammalia; Chiroptera; Vespertilionidae. The record is from Rfam by way of RNAcentral.